RNAcentral lists this ribosomal RNA (501 nucleotides) under uncultured bacterium. RNAcentral's name for it is "partial 16S ribosomal RNA". It matches the Rfam family "Bacterial small subunit ribosomal RNA", at positions 29 to 523 of the family's 1533-position model. The record is from RNAcentral.
AUUGAACGCUGGCGGCAUGCCUUACACAUGCAAGUCGAACGGCAGCACGGGUGCUUGCACCUGGUGGCGAGUGGCGAACGGGUGAGUAGUACAUCGGAACGUACCUUAUCGUGGGGGAUAACGCAGCGAAAGCCGUGCUAAUACCGCAUACGCCCUGAGGGGGAAAGCGGGGGAUCGCAAGACCUCGCGCGAUUAGAGCGGCCGAUGCCUGAUUAGCUAGUUGGUGGGGUAAAAGCCCACCAAGGCGACGAUCAGUAGCUGGUCUGAGAGGACGAUCAGCCACACUGGGACUGAGACACGGCCCAGACUCCUACGGGAGGCAGCAGUGGGGAAUUUUGGACAAUGGGGGCAACCCUGAUCCAGCAAUGCCGCGUGAGUGAAGAAGGCCUUCGGGUUGUAAAGCUCUUUUGUCAGGGAAGAAACACCGGCUCUAACACAGUCCGGGAAUGACGGUACCUGAAGAAUAAGCACCGGCUAACUACGUGCCAGCAGCCGCCGUAA